GUAAGGGCAUGAUUGAUGAGAAUGAGAAGUUUGGCGGACGCUUUUAUAAAUAUGGGAAAGUGUAGGGGGGUGUGACCACUGAGACACACUGAUCUCUCCUCCUGCCAGAGGUCACUAUGUUCCUAAUGCUCUUUAGGGGGGUGUGGGUAGUCACCCCCCUGGGGGGGCCAGCAAGGCCGGGCCUGGGGAUGCCUCCAGGCCAUAUGUGGGCAUCGGUUUAGCAUGGAAAUUAGCUUGUUAGCCCCCUCUCCACCUCUACCCCGUCGGUUGGAAGUCGGAAAAAAUCGGAAAAAAAUCCCGUGCGUGGUGGGCCCGGCCCGCCAUGGCUCGGGCCCGUUCGCAGCAAUUGUGGGAAAUGAAUCGGUGGUUGAAUCCUAUAUAAAAGUGUGUCGAAUGGAUGCUAGUGCAUGGUGCGAGCAUGGCAUUUGCGUGCUGUGCUUGUGCCGACGUGCGAGCAGACAUGCGUUGCACUGGGCAUGGGAGCUUCGGUUGGCCAACGUUUGCAAACUAACUCCUUGGGCUAGACUCGAAUCACGACGAUGAACCCAGUGCUAUUGGGGCCGAUCUCCAUGCUUGCGUGUGUCAAUUGGAUGCUGGUGCAAGGUGUGGGCGUGGCAUUUCUGUGCUAUUCCUGUGCUGGCGUGCCGGCGGAUAGGCGAUGCACUGGGCAUGGUGUGAGUUCUCGGUGGCAUAGGCUUUUGAGGACUUUGGGUCUGGUGGUAGAGCCGACUUUAUUGGGGUCGAUCUCCUUGCUCUCGAGGGUGUUAAGUGAAAGUCGGUACAAGGUGUGGGCAUGGUGCUUACGUGCUGUGCUUGUGUCGAGUGCGGGCGGACAUGCAACGCCAUCGGGCAUGGGGUGAGCUCCUGAUGGGGAAGGCUUGCAGGGAGUUGGGAUGCUACAUUACUCGGGGUCGUGGAUGGACGUCGGGGCUGUUGCGAUCGUGCAUUGCUCAGGUUGUGGGAAUGAGCUGGCCCGGUGCUUCCGCAAGUGUUGAGGCAUUACAAGUGUUGGGAGAGGGCGUGGCGUUACGAUGCCGUGCUUGAUCCUAUGCGCGAACGAUGUCGAGGCAUGAGUUGUGGCAUUGAGUGGUAGGCGCUUUCCUUCGAUUGCGGUGGUGCAUUGUUGCUUGCGUCGAUGUGUCCCUUUGUGAUCGUUGCCUUUGCUUAGGUUGAGGGGACGAGCCUGGUGCCUUUACUUUGCUGAAGUUGUGCGAAUGUUGAGGUGAGGGCGUGGCGUUUCAUGCCACAUGUGCUCGAGCCGAUGCAUGAGCUCGCGGAGGCAUGUGUUGAGAACAUUGUACGGCGAGUUUCUUCGGCUGCGGUGAUUGCACUGUUACAAAGCCCCAUUCUUUCCCUUCCCGGUGCUUGCAUUUGCUACUAAGGUUGCGGGGAUGAGCCUGGUGCCAGAUGUUUUGUUGAGGCGACGCGAGUGCUUGGUGAGGGUGCGGCGUUCGGCGCUGUGCUCAAUCCGAUGUGCGAGCUGCUGAGGCAAGGCUGAGGCACUGUAUGGGGAAUCCUCGUGGCCGAGGUCACUGCUUUACGUCCAGAAUCAGACGGGUCCCUUCGUGUUGCUUGUAUUUCACUGUUCGCUUCGUCCCUCCUCGGAUUUGUUUCGCGCCAAGCGGUGUGAGUAGCGGUUCCAUUCGGCGUUUUGACUUCCCAUCGUGCUUCUGCUCGUCGGGGGGGCAAUUCGUUGGGUGGGAUCACUGCUCAACGUACGUGGCGGCGCAUGAGCGGUUGUUUGGUCGUUUGGGUUGGCAGGCUCUUUGCUCGAGCAUUGAACUGUUGGCUCUCGAUCCCCUUCAGUUGUUGCCCGAGAGCGGAAUGUGCCUCGGUGACAUGAUUCGGUUCCUGUGUUGCAUACCCACGAAAGCGGAAUUCGAAAGCUAUGCUGUCCCGUUUUCGCUUUGCGCCUUGUUUAGGGUGCGAGGUGAACCCCGUAGCGGCAUCCGUGCUCCAAGCAUGCCUCACUGGCUGCCGUGGCCCACGGAAUGUCGCUGUGCUCUCGGAUGCGGAAUGUGAUGCGGGCGGAGGGGUGGCAACUCCCUCCAUCAGCCCAAACGUCCAAUCGGUAACGGAACGACCGACGUGCCUGUCUCGAGGCCUCGGCUCGCCGGGGCUUCGUGCGGGCGACGCCGUCGCGAAGGAAUGCUACCUGGUUGAUCCUGCCAGUAGUCAUAUGCUUGUCUCAAAGAUUAAGCCAUGCAUGUGUAAGUAUGAACUAAUUCAGACUGUGAAACUGCGAAUGGCUCAUUAAAUCAGUUAUAGUUUGUUUGAUGGUAUCUGCUACUCGGAUAACCGUAGUAAUUCUAGAGCUAAUACGUGCAACAAACCCCGACUUCUGGAAGGGAUGCAUUUAUUAGAUAAAAGGUCGACGCGGGCUCUGCCCGUUGCUCUGAUGAUUCAUGAUAACUCGACGGAUCGCACGGCCAUCGUGCCGGCGACGCAUCAUUCAAAUUUCUGCCCUAUCAACUUUCGAUGGUAGG
Molecule: unclassified non-coding RNA, 2486 nt
Filed under: Hevea brasiliensis (rubber tree)
Lineage: Eukaryota; Viridiplantae; Streptophyta; Magnoliopsida; Malpighiales; Euphorbiaceae
Rfam family: Eukaryotic small subunit ribosomal RNA (bases 2153-2486)
Source: RNAcentral